GCCAGCAGCCAUAUCACCCUUCAACUCACAACUUGCAACCCACUGAAGCUAAGCAGGUGUGAGCCUGGUCAGUACCAGGAUGGGAGACCUCCUGGGAAACACUAAGGUUGCAGUUGGAA
Ribosomal RNA from Lepisosteus oculatus (spotted gar), 119 nucleotides. The record is from Ensembl. NCBI's taxonomy places the organism in Eukaryota, Metazoa, Chordata, Actinopteri, Semionotiformes, Lepisosteidae.